GUGUCAGCAGCCGCGGUAAUACGAAGGGGGCUAGCGUUGCUCGGAAUUACUGGGCGUAAAGGGCGCGUAGGCGGGUCGUCAAGUUGGGGGUGAAAGCCCGGGGCUCAACCUCGGAAUUGCCUUCAAAACUGGCGACCUAGAGUACGGGAGAGGUGUGUGGAACUCCGAGUGUAGAGGUGAAAUUCGUAGAUAUUCGGAAGAACACCAGUGGCGAAGGCGACACACUGGCCCGUUACUGACGCUGAGGCGCGAAAGCGUGGGGAGCAAACAGGAUUAGAUACCCUGGUAGUCC
Molecule: ribosomal RNA, 292 nt
Filed under: uncultured bacterium
Lineage: Bacteria
Description: partial 16S ribosomal RNA
Rfam family: Bacterial small subunit ribosomal RNA
Source: RNAcentral